This 442-nucleotide ribosomal RNA is filed under the name uncultured bacterium. Its description in RNAcentral is "partial 16S ribosomal RNA". It matches the Rfam family "Bacterial small subunit ribosomal RNA", at positions 338 to 795 of the family's 1533-position model. The record is from RNAcentral.
CCUACGGUGGGCAGCAGUGGGGAAUAUUGGGCAAUGGGCGCAAGCCUGACCCAGCAACGCCGCGUGAAGGAAGAAGGCUUUCUGGUUGUAAACUUCUUUUAAGGGGGAAGAACAGAAGACGGUACCCCUUGAAUAAGCCACGGCUAACUACGUGCCAUCAGCCGCGGUACUACUUAGGUGGCAAGCGUUGUCCGGAUUUACUGGGUUUAAAGGGCGUGCAGCCGGAGAGACAAGUCAGAUGUGAAAUCCACGGGCUCAACCCGUGAACUGCAUUUGAAACUGUUUCCCUUGAGUGUCGGAGAGGUAAUCGGAAUUCCUUGUGUAGCGGUGAAAUGCGUAGAUAUAAGGAAGAACACCAGUGGCGAAGGCGGAUUACUGGACGAUAACUGACGGUGAGGCGCGAAAGCGUGGGGAGCAAACAGGAUUAGAUACCCGAGUAGUC